AGUGAAGCGGGAUGAGCUCAAAUUUAAAAUCUGGCUGGUUUACUAGUCCGAAUUGUAGUUUAUAGAAGCGUUUUCGGUGGCAGCCUGGGUAUAAAUCCUUUGGAAUAGGGUAUAUAGAGGGUGAGAAUCCCGUCUUUGACUCAGUGCAUGCUACUAUGUGAUACGUUUUCAAAGAGUCGAGUUGUUUGGGAAUGCAGCUCAAAAUGGGUGGUAAAUUUCAUCUAAAGCUAAAUAUUGGCGAGAGACCGAUAGCGAACAAGUACCGUGAGGGAAAGAUGAAAAGAACUUUGAAAAGAGAGUUAAACAGUGCGUGAAAUUGUUGAAAGGGAAACGCUUGACACCAGUCAUGCGAGUGGAAAAUCAGUCUUUUGCAAUGGGGAGUUGUGGGCGUUCAGACCGCAAGGCUGGCGUUUGCUUCAUCUUUGUUGUAAGUGAUGCACUUUUUCAUUUGCAGGUCAACAUCAGUUUGCUUUGCUGGACAAAACCCCAAGGGAAGGUGGCAGCUUAGGCUGUGUUAUAGCCCUGGGGCGAUACAGUGGAGUGGACUGAGGUUUUCGCAGUGUGUGCUCUCUGGGCAAGGCUGACUGGGUGCUAUGGGAUCGUUCGGCGUACAAUGCAUGCAUUUUGCGUCGUGUCUUUUUCAUACUCGCUCAACUCGGCUCUUCCACACUUAGGAUGUUGACUUAAUGGUUUUAAUCGACCCGUCUUG
This 709-nucleotide ribosomal RNA is filed under the name Mortierella sp. FSU 10452. RNAcentral's name for it is "eukaryotic LSU rRNA". It matches the Rfam family "Eukaryotic large subunit ribosomal RNA", at positions 92 to 656 of the family's 3401-position model. The record is from RNAcentral. Lineage: Eukaryota; Fungi; Mortierellomycota; Mortierellomycetes; Mortierellales; Mortierellaceae.